CAAAGGAAGCUAUACAGCAAUUCGGUUUCGGCCCGAAAGUAGAAUUAUAUUUCCCUUUGU
RNAcentral lists this transfer RNA (60 nucleotides) under Parvasolenaia rivularis. Its description in RNAcentral is "Solenaia rivularis tRNA-Arg". The record is from RNAcentral. Lineage: Eukaryota; Metazoa; Mollusca; Bivalvia; Unionida; Unionidae.